GCAGAGCAUCCUACGGGAGGCAGCAGUGGGGAAUAUUGCACAAUGGGCGCAAGCCUGAUGCAGCCAUGCCGCGUGUAUGAAGAAGGCCUUCGGGUGUAAAGUACUUUCAGCAGUGAGGAAGGUGGGUAUGUUAAUAGCAUACUCAUUUGACGUUAGCUGCAGAAGAAGCACCGGCUAACUCCGUGCCAGCAGCCGCGGUAAUACGGAGGGUGCGAGCGUUAAUCGGAAUUACUGGGCGUAAAGCGCAUGCAGGUGGUUUGUUAAGUCAGAUGUGAAAGCCCGGGGCUCAACCUCGGAAUUGCAUUUGAAACUGGCAAACUAGAGUACUGUAGAGGGGGGUAGAAUUUCAGGUGUAGCGGUGAAAUGCGUAGAGAUCUGAAGGAAUACCGGUGGCGAAGGCGGCCCCCCUGGACAGAUACUGACACUCAGAUGCGAAAGCGUGGGGAGCAAACAGGAUUAGAUACCCUGGUAG
RNAcentral lists this ribosomal RNA (472 nucleotides) under uncultured bacterium. RNAcentral's name for it is "bacterial SSU rRNA". It matches the Rfam family "Bacterial small subunit ribosomal RNA", at positions 329 to 793 of the family's 1533-position model. The record is from RNAcentral.